This 337-nucleotide ribosomal RNA is filed under the name uncultured prokaryote. RNAcentral's name for it is "bacterial SSU rRNA". It matches the Rfam family "Bacterial small subunit ribosomal RNA", at positions 26 to 352 of the family's 1533-position model. The record is from RNAcentral.
AGAUUGAACGCUGGCGGCAUGCCUAACACAUGCAAGUCGAACGGUAACAGGCCCUUCGGGGUGCUGACGAGUGGCGGACGGGUGAGUAAGGCAUCGGAAUCUGCCCUGAUGUGGGGGAUAACGUAGGGAAACUUACGCUAAUACCGCAUACGACCGAGAGGUGAAAGCGGGGGACCGAAAGGCCUCGCGCAGCAGGAUGAGCCGAUGUCCGAUUAGCUGGUUGGUGGGGUAAAGGCCUACCCAAGGCUACGAGGUCGGUANGUGUCGUAGAGGACGGACCGACGACGACCACUACGUCGGACUGAGACACGGGCCCAGACUCCUACCGGGAGGCAGC